GUUUUUUUUCCCCCCAAAAUCCAUCAGAAAUUCGGGUUUUUUUUCCCCAAAAUCCUCCUGAAAUUUGAGUUUUUUUCCCCAAAAUCCUCCUGAAAUUUCGUUUUUAUUCACCAAAAAAACCUCCUAAAAUUUGGGGUUUUUUCCCCCAAAAACCUCCUGAAAUUUGGGGUUUUUUCCCCCAAAAUCCAUCAGAAAUUCCGGUUUUUUUUCCCCAAAAUCCAUCAGAAAUUCAGAUUUUUUUCCCCCAAAAAACCUCCUGAAAUUCAGGUUUUUUUCACCCAAAAUCCUCCUAAAAUUUGGGGUUUUUUAACCCAAAAUCCUCCUGAAAUUUGGGGUUUUUUUCCCCCAAAAUCCAUCAGAAAUUCAGGUUUUUUUCCCCCCAAAAACCUCCUGAAAUUUGGGGUUUUUUCCCCCAAAAUCCUCCUGAAAUUUCGUUUUUAUUCACCCAAAAAACCUCCUAAAAUUUGGGUUUUUUUCACCCAAAAUCCUCCUGAAAUUCGGUUUUUUUCCCCCAAAAUCCUCCUAAAAUUUGGGGUUUUUUCACCCAAAAUCCUCCUGAAAUUCGGUUUUUUUUCCCCCAAAAACCUCCUGAAAUUUGGUUUUUUUUCACCCAAAAUCAUCCUGAAAUUUGGGGGUUUUUUCCCCAAAAAACCUCCUAAAAUUUGGGUUUUUUUCCCCAAAAACCUCCUAAAAUUUGGGGUUUUUUUUCCCCCAAAAUCCUCCUGA
This 726-nucleotide long non-coding RNA is filed under the name Zonotrichia albicollis (white-throated sparrow). Its description in RNAcentral is "lncRNA (ENSZALG00000001549.1)". Lineage: Eukaryota; Metazoa; Chordata; Aves; Passeriformes; Passerellidae. The record is from RNAcentral.